Molecule: long non-coding RNA, 3633 nt
Organism: Rosa chinensis
Lineage: Eukaryota; Viridiplantae; Streptophyta; Magnoliopsida; Rosales; Rosaceae
Exons: 2
Source: RefSeq, a predicted model, not a curated record
UAAUAUUCCACAUAAAUUUAUUAACCCUCCAUUAGUAGCACUGUUAACUCCUCUUUCUACCAAAAGCAUUUUCAAUUUUUCCCUCUCUUAUUAGUUGAUUAGUAAUUAUAGCUCACUAAUAUUUGAUAAUACUUUCUUGGUAGACUAACAUCAUAUACAUAAAAAGGGAAAAAUGAACCCUAGCAAGCUGCUAGGGCUGAGAGAGCGCUGCCCCCAGGCCUGGCGACUCUGCACCUUCCUCCAUUCUCAAUGGCAGGCUAUUUCGGCAUCAUCUUUGAGGUCGUAUCAAUCGAGUACAGCUGUGGUAGUCUCUCAUCAUCCACUGAGUUUCUCAGAGCGACUGCAGCAGGAGCAGUCUUGUAUCGCGGGCUUGGUUUUGCCAAUCCAAUUGGCUUUCGGUGGGAGAUCUUUUCCUAUUGCGCUUUGCAGGGAGGAGUUUCCGGUCAGAUCCAUAUUUGAAGUGGGUCGAUUACGACCCAAACGUGGGCUACUAAAGACAGUGUCAGGCGGCUGCAUCACCGAGGGGGUAAAAGGCCAGGGUUACCCCUUAUGGAGCGAGACGGCGACUGAAUCUUCUCCGGCGAGGGUUGGAGGCGUUGCAAUUCUGGCAUCGUCUGUGGAUCAACUCGGAGAUGUGCUUUUCCAGUUCAUUCGCUCGAAUGCUCUUCCCAAAUUGCUCUCUUCCAUCAACAUCGGCGGAGCGACGAGUUGUUUCAAGAAGGGACGGCGGUGCUGCUACUCAGAUCGGUGAUGGUUGGGUGCCCAGAUGCUUGGGUGGCCUGAGUAUUUCCAAACGGGCUUACUCCUUCUUAGGUGCCCAGUUGCCUGGGUGCGCAGAGCAGCGCUUCUUGGGCUUGGGCUGUUUUUGCUGCAUCCGUUUCAUUUUUGACUUCAGGCCGGAUUUGGAUCCGCAUUUGGGAUCCGGGUCGUACCUUAAUUCGGAUCUUGGAUCCGAAAUAGCUGCUCAUAUUGUUUUGGUUUUGGUUCUAGUUCUUGAGUUCGUCUGCCAACAUUCUGACACCCUCGGUUGCUUUCGAUCUCAUGGUGAGCGAAUCACCUCUCUUAGGUGGUUUUAUCAUCGGCUACAGUUACGGUUACUCUUCUAUUUGCACUGCUUUAGUGACAUAUGCAGUGCAGUGAUGCCUUAUGGCAUCAAGUCACAUGGUUACCUGGUUACCUUUCAUUCUCGAUGCAAUUGUGCAUCUAGUUAUGUGUUUUUUUUUACUUCAUCAUAGAUGCGGUUGUGCAUCUCGUUAUGUUUUAUUACUUUCUUUCGAUGUUUCAUGCAUCGCUCCAUUUACUCCUCAGUUUCACUUAAUAUAGUUUGUCGUCCUUCUUUCAAAAAAAAAAAGUUGAUUUGUAGUUAUCCUAAUUACUUUCCGUUUUGCAUGUACUAGUACUAUUUAUCUUGCCCUUUUUUUCCUUCUAAUUUUUAAUUAAUUGUUAUCUCAAUCAAGACGGUGAUAGAUCUGUGAUGGGGAGAGAGAGAGGGCAAGAUGAAAAUGUUCUUGGUAAAAAGGAGUUAACGAUGUUGCUAAAUGAGGGUAUUAAAAGUAUGUUAGAGAUUAAUUUUAAGGUUUUAAGGUGCCAAAGUAAUAGUUUUAGAAUGUCGGGAAUCAAAAUGUCGAAUGACCCAAACUUUGAAGACUGUUAGUGACAUUUACUCUUUAAAUUUUACUUUCAAUAAGGAAGAAAUCCGGAACAAAGAAAAAUUAACUACUUGCAAUUUUAUUUAGAUAAGGAGUUUUCUUUGUUAACACUGAACCCUUUUUCAUUUCAGGGAACAAAUGAAAUCGAAGGCAUCAUCAUGGUAAUGUCUCCCGCACAGAUAUAUGAUAAAUCUCCUCCUGUACUUGAACAAGACUUACCAGAGAUACAAUUGAAUGCUGGAAGCUUCUCAGGAUGAAAAAUCUUAAAUGUUUUAAAAACAGAGAUGCUCCCUGUUCUGCAGAGAUGGAAUCGCUCCCCAAUAAUUUAAGGCUUAUUGAUUGGCCUCACUUUCCGUUUAAAGCUUUACCAUUGGAUUUUGAUCCAAAGAAGCUUGUUAAACUCAAUAUGCCUGGCAGCAGCUGCAUGUUACAACUGGGGGGCACAUUCAAGCCAGAGCUGCAGAUAUCUGAAAUAUAUAAACUUAGAAAGCUGCUCAUGCCUACAAGUGGUUCCUAGCUUGUCUGAAUUCCCACAGUUACAGGAGUUGAAUCUUAAAGACUGUACAAGUUUAACUGGGGUUGAUGAUUCUGUUGGACAUCAUAAAAAUCUGGUUGUCUUGAGUCUUGCAGGAUGCCAUAACCUUACUGUGCUUCCAGGAGCAAUUGCCUGGAAAAAUGCGAGAGAGAUAAAUCUUUAUCACUGUAGUAAGCUGAAAACUUUUCCGGAUAUUUUGGAAGAGAUGGAAUCCGUAACGUGCCUGGAAUUAUUCAAAACUGCAAUCACAGAUUGCCUACAUCAAUUCCAUAUCUCAUUGGACUUAAAUAUUUGAAGUUGAGAGAUUGUGAGAACCUUGUGUAUCUGCCACCUAGUAUGUAUGAGCUGCAUCAUUUAGAUGAACUUGAUCUGGAUAAUUGCUCAGAACUUGUUACAUUUCCAAGGUGGAAUGCAGAAUCACAUCAAACUAACUUGCGGCAAUUUCAUUGUACAGAACUACAGAUGUUAGAGACUAUGUGACAAACUUCCUCAUGACGUGGCAGGCAAUGAGGGUACUCUUCGCUUUCUGAUUCACUCUUCUAAGCAGCCUGAAUUCCAUUUGGUAUUUCCACGCAGAGAAGUUCCAAGGUGAUUUAAAUGUCGCAACAAAUUAACGGAGCUUGUUGAUAAAUCAUGAGUUUUCUUUUAAUGUUCCUCUAGAUAUCAGAUCGGGGAACAAAGGAUUGGCCAUCUGUGCUGCUGCUACUGCUGUAGAUGAUUCUGGUGAGUGCUCAAUUGCAGCCAAUGUUUGUAUCAGUGAACAUAUAAUCCCUACAAUCUCGUUCUGUUUUGAAGCAAAAGAGAUGGGGCGCUCUGGUCAUCGGCCGCCUUUUUCCUGUCGGGUUAGUUUGGAACAUACUAGCCAACCUUCAGUUCGAUAUACAAGUUAUGGGGUCGACUUGGUAAUGAGGGUACCCUCUGCUCUCUGAUUCAUCUUCUAAGCUUCAAAGACUGAAUUCCGCAUUGUAUUUCCAGGAAGUUAAGUUUCAAGUUUGUUCAGGCAUGUAAAGUACUUAAUGGAGCUUGUUGAUAACUUGAAUUUUGUCUUGAAAUUCCUCUGAAAUUCAACAAAUGUUCGGUUAUUUGUGCUUCAGCUACUGCUGCAGGCAAUUUUGGUCAGUGCUCUUUCACAGCUAAAAUUCACAUCAGUGCAGAAAGCAGCAGUGCACAUUCGGUUCUGUUUGGAAGCAAGCUAGGUGCGGAGGUGGAGUACUCUGCUGAUUUGUGACUUGGAAGAUGAGCACUUCAGUUGUGUGUGCUGGAGCUCACUCUUGUCUUUCCGUUUUCCCUGUGUUGGGGGCAUAUUGUAUUUUGACAUUGUGCGUAUUUCUAGAUCAAUAGCUUUGUUCUUUUUGGGUUAGUUCAGCAAGCCUUCCUACUCCAGAGCAUAUAUAAUGGCAAAAUUGUAACAUAUAUUAUUUGAAAGGAGCAAAAGUUGGGGUUAUGCAA